GUGGUGUCACAAAAUCGGAGGCCACGACUGUUUACUAAAAACACAAUUCAGAGCAAUGAUGAAAAUCAUAGUAUUCUGGAUGAAAUUUGCCCGAUGCCAUUAACAUAAAAGAGGUAAUGGGAAACUGUUACUAAUUGAAAGUCUGGUUAAUAGCGGUCUUAACUAUGAGGAUCCUAAGGUAGCAAAAUCAGUUGGCCAUUAAAUGUGGUCUGGUAUCAAUAGUGUAACGAUGGUCUCACUGUCUCUACAACUUGCUCAGUGAAAUUGAAUUAUCCGUGCAGAUGCGGAUUGCCU
Molecule: ribosomal RNA, 294 nt
Filed under: Thelephoroid sp. EL3
Lineage: Eukaryota; Fungi; Basidiomycota; Agaricomycetes; Thelephorales; Thelephoraceae
Description: partial large subunit ribosomal RNA
Rfam family: Bacterial large subunit ribosomal RNA
Source: RNAcentral